GAGUAGAGGUGAUAAACCUACCGAGCCCAGUUAUAGCUGGUUGCCUGAGAAAUGAAUAGAAGUUCAGCCCUUUAAACCUUUCCCGACCCACAAUGCUUUACGCUUAAAUAGGUUAAGGAAGCUAAAGGAGUUAAUCAGAAGGGGUACAGCCCUUCUGAUAAAAGAAACAACUUUAACAGGUGUCUCAAGAUCAUAUUAAUUAAGGACUUUAAAUUAAGUGGGCCUAAGAGCAGCCAUCUUAACAGAAAGCGUUAAAGCUCAAAUUAAACACCACCCGCACAUACUGAUAUCUCAUCUCCCUCCCUGCUUUUUACCAGGCUAUCCUAUGCCUCCAUAGGAACAAUUAUGCUAAAAUGAGUAAUAAGAAGAAUAUGUUCUUCUCCAAGCACACGUGUAAGUCGGAACGGACCCCCCACCGACUAUUAACCGACCCCAAACCCAGAGGGACAUAAGUUAUUUCAACAAGAAAACCACUUAUUUUAAACCGUUAACCCUACACAGGUGUGCCCCAAGGAAAGACUAAAAGAGAAGGAAGGAACUCGGCAAACACAAGCCUCGCCUGUUUACCAAAAACAUCGCCUCUUGUCCCCAAAAUAUAAGAGGUCCCGCCUGCCCUGUGACUAUAUGUUUAACGGCCGCGGUAUCUUAACCGUGCGAAGGUAGCGUAAUCACUUGUCUUUUAAAUGAAGACCUGUAUGAAUGGCAUCACGAGGGCUUAACUGUCUCCCCUCUCCAGUCAAUGAAAUUGACCUCCCCGUGCAGAGGCGGGGAUAUUUCUAUAAGACGAGAAGACCCUGUGGAGCUUUAGACCUAAAGUAAACCACGUUUAAUGUACUAAAAUUAAUAGCAAAAACUUAGUGGACAUUUAUUUAAGUGUCUUUGGUUGGGGCGACCGCGGAGUAAAACACAACCUCCAUGUGGACGGGGAUACUUUCCCUAAAACUCAGAGCCUCCACUCCAAGCAACAGAAAUUAUGACCUUACUGAUCCGGUACAACCGAUUAACGAACCCAGUUACCCCAGGGAUAACAGCGCAAUCCCCUCUCAGAGCUCAUAUCGACGAGGGGGUUU
This 1070-nucleotide ribosomal RNA is filed under the name Merluccius gayi (Southern Pacific hake). RNAcentral's name for it is "partial 16S ribosomal RNA". It matches the Rfam family "Bacterial large subunit ribosomal RNA", at positions 813 to 2519 of the family's 2925-position model. The record is from RNAcentral. Lineage: Eukaryota; Metazoa; Chordata; Actinopteri; Gadiformes; Merlucciidae.